Molecule: transfer RNA, 69 nt
Filed under: Polypedates pseudocruciger (false hour-glass tree frog)
Lineage: Eukaryota; Metazoa; Chordata; Amphibia; Anura; Rhacophoridae
Description: tRNA-Val
Source: RNAcentral
CAAAAUGUAACUUAAUAAAAGCUUUCCGUUUACACCGGAACCAUGUCCGUGCAACCCAGACCAUUUUGA